This 331-nucleotide long non-coding RNA is filed under the name Papio anubis (olive baboon). Its description in RNAcentral is "lncRNA (ENSPANG00000047116.1)". Lineage: Eukaryota; Metazoa; Chordata; Mammalia; Primates; Cercopithecidae. The record is from RNAcentral.
GCGGAAAGUCAAAUGUGAAAGUCUCCCUUCACGAAUCUCACAGCCAACCAUUAAUAAUUAGAUUUGUAUCCUUUAACAUUUUUUUUCUAUGUACAUACAGGCAUUUGAAAUAAAAGAGCCCUUCAUGUUAUGUCUGUUACAGAACCAGGAAGAUCCUGAUAAAGACACUGCACUCCACCCAGAUUCCCUUGGAGUCUAUGCGCUGUUUCUGGGCUCAUCCUCCAGCCUCAGUGUGUUUGCUGGGAAGAAAAAGAUACAUUAUGUCAUUCUUCUGAUUAUGAAUUUAAUUAAAAUCCUGAUUCCUGGAUGGUAUCGUGGGCCUAUUGAAUGA